RNAcentral lists this ribosomal RNA (492 nucleotides) under uncultured bacterium. RNAcentral's name for it is "partial 16S ribosomal RNA". It matches the Rfam family "Bacterial small subunit ribosomal RNA", at positions 29 to 507 of the family's 1533-position model. The record is from RNAcentral.
AGUGAACGCUGGCGGUAGGCCUAACACAUGCAAGUCGAACGGCAGCACAGUAAGAGCUUGCUCUUACGGGUGGCGAGUGGCGGACGGGUGAGGAAUACAUCGGAAUCUACUUUUUCGUGGGGGAUAACGUAGGGAAACUUACGCUAAUACCGCAUACGACCUACGGGUGAAAGCAGGGGAUCUUCGGACCUUGCGCGAUUGAAUGAGCCGAUGUCGGAUUAGCUAGUCGGCGGGGUAGAGGCCCACCAAGGCGACGAUCCGUAGCUGGUCUGAGAGGAUGAUCAGCCACACUGGAACUGAGACACGGUCCAGACUCCUACGGGAGGCAGCAGUGGGGAAUAUUGGACAAUGGGCGCAAGCCUGAUCCAGCCAUACCGCGUGGGUGAAGAAGGCCUUCGGGUUGUAAAGCCCUUUUGUUGGGAAAGAAAAGCAGCAGGUUAAUACCCCGCUGUUCUGACGGUACCCAAAGAAUAAGCACCGGCUAACUUCGUG